RNAcentral lists this ribosomal RNA (429 nucleotides) under bacterium. RNAcentral describes it as "partial 16S ribosomal RNA". It matches the Rfam family "Bacterial small subunit ribosomal RNA", at positions 355 to 776 of the family's 1533-position model. The record is from RNAcentral.
UAGGGAAUCUUCGGCAAUGGACGAAAGUCUGACCGAGCAACGCCGCGUGAGUGAAGAAGGUUUUCGGAUCGUAAAACUCUGUUGUUAGAGAAGAACAAGGACGUUAGUAACUGAACGUCCCCUGACGGUAUCUAACCAGAAAGCCACGGCUAACUACGUGCCAGCAGCCGCGGUAAUACGUAGGUGGCAAGCGUUGUCCGGAUUUAUUGGGCGUAAAGCGAGCGCAGGCGGUUUCUUAAGUCUGAUGUGAAAGCCCCCGGCUCAACCGGGGCAGGUCAUUGGAAACUGGGAGACUUGAGUGCAGAAGAGGAGGGUGGAAUUCCAUGUGUAGCUGUGAAAUGCGUAGAUAUAUGGAGGAACACCAGUGGCGAAGGCGGCUCUCUGGUCUGUAACUGACGCUGAGGCUCGAAAGCGUGGGGAGCAAACAGG